RNAcentral lists this long non-coding RNA (3394 nucleotides) under Sus scrofa (pig). RNAcentral's name for it is "lncRNA (ENSSSCG00015045339.1)". The record is from RNAcentral. Lineage: Eukaryota; Metazoa; Chordata; Mammalia; Artiodactyla; Suidae.
ACUGUGAGGUGCUGGGUGGCCACCGCUCCUCCCUGCUCCCCUAGCCUUCCAAACCAAGCCUACAGACUAUUUUUCUGCACUGUUCAACCUCUUGGUACAAGCAGAGUUUGAGUUGCUGCCCUCCCAAGUUAGCCCUCUGCUGGAGCUUUGGCAAAGAACACAAGGAUUGCUUAAAAUUCAGUAAGUGCAGGAGUUCCCUGGUGGCUGAGUGGGUUAAGGAUCAGCAGGUGUUUUCACUGCUGUGGUGCAGGUUUGAUCACUGGCCCAGGAACUUCUGUAUGCUGCAGGAGCAGCCAAUAAGUAAGUAAGUAAGUAAAUAAAUAAAUAGAUAUUUUAAAGUAAGCUUUUAAUAUAUCCCUAUAUUUGUAUAGGGCAUAGCUUCCUGUUUGAAAACUAUUUGCAUAGUUCUCUAAGUUUCUAAGAUUCAACUGCUUUUUUGGUUUAUGGAAUUGAGAUUAACCAUGAUACAUUUACAUGGUGUCAAUUAUCUGAAAUGUAGGCAUUCACCCAAUUCAUCCAUCUAUCCAUUCAUUUAUUCACCUAUCCAUCCACCCAUCCAAUAAUUUUAAAGUCCCUAUAAGUAACUCAUCAGUCUUUAUAGCACUGAAGUUGAGAGAGAAUCCACAGUAAUUAAGAGAUGAUAAAUGUCACACAGAUCCCUGUUGCUUAUUAAGCAACUGAAAAUAGAAAAGCUCAGAGGAGAAUGAUCUGUGUGAAAGUUAAAGAUUCUUCCAUGGAGUGAUUUUACCAACCAUAUGCAUCUGCAAAAUAUAGAAAGCCAAGCCCAGGCAAGAUAAGCUCAUUCUGUGCUCAGGACCUGCUAAUUGGCUUCACAUGUAUGUGGAUGGAACCCUCAUGGGGCUAGAUUCCCAUAUGGGGAGAGAAAUGAGAUAAUUCACUGAAAGAUAUGUCUGAGUCAGACUGAGGGAACUGUUAUGAACUGGGCUGUGGCUAUAAUCAGCGUUAGUGCGAGGAUGACACUUUAGGGAGAUAUUGAUGGUCAAGAUGCGUUGAGUUUGAAUGCUGUUUUUCCAUUUCCUAAGUAUGACCUUGGGCUGUUUGUUCACAUUAUUUAUUCAGUAAAUAUUUAUCGAGCCCUGUUAUGCACCAGGCAUGGUGUGAGGUGAUGGAAAUUCUCUUGCCCUCACAGUAUAACACAGUAUAACUCAAACAUUUUUUGAGCUUCACUUUCCUAAUCGUAACAAUAGCUAUCCUUCAGAAUUGUGUGGAGUUACGUACAAGGCCUAUCUGAUUAGCUACUGAAUGGGACUUUUCUUAUUGUCUCAGGACUGGCAACUUGGUUACAAAGUGGGGGGCAAAUAGAUGAUAAUUAGAGGACACAUAGAUGAUUAGGAUUUAUUAAGAGGCAAAUUCAUUUUCUGCCCCAGUUAUCACUCCCUACUCGUUAAUCUCAUCUGAGAAAAGUGCUGAGCUUCAGAAAGAGUUCCAUAUCUUCUACUCUUGGAGAGUGCUCCUUCUAAAAUAAGCCAAUGGGCUGCCCCAAGAGAAUUAUCUGUAGAGACUGGGGAGGGGGUACCAGCAGGCAGUCGAGCCUGGAAUCUCAUUUUUUAGUUGGAUACCCGCUUAUGCGAUGAAUGAAUUUGCUAAACUGUACUUUUUGUCUAUCUAAGCAAUGGGAAAGAGAUUUAGGGAGAGAACUCAGUGUAGAGAAAAUGAGCAGUAGGGGGAUAGGCCACACUCCCAUUAUCUGACAGGAAAAAGGUGCAUGAGUCUUGUGUAGAUCAAGUGGAUGCCAUGGAAAUCUUGAAUUAUUGUGAUGGAACCCUAUCCUAAAGUGUGACUAAGAGAAAAGACCCAGCAGGGAAAGUUUGUAGGGUGGAUUAUAUAAGGGUGGGAUUUGAGGGAGAUUGGAAAAUGUCCACUGGAGCUGAUUUCCUAUAAGAGGUGGCCAUGCAGUGAAGAGGCUGCCAAAGAACCUUCCAGAGAAUCCUCAGGUGUCUCCCAAGAGGUGUGAUAUUGGGAUGGUUGCCAUGGGGGAGGGCAGAGAUCAUAAUGGCAAUGAUAAGGAAAAACAUUUCUGCUCCCUUUGAGAAUUCUGUCUUCCUCUCUUUAACACAGCAAAGGACUCAGAAGUUGUGUGUGGGACAGGGGUGGGGGUGUAGGCUGGGGGGAAGCAUCUAGAGAUGCCCCUUCUCCUUGCCCACAUUCAUACCUCAGGGCUGUUCCUGGGUCUAGGGAAGAAGAUGGACAUUUAAAUCGGAUGAAAAAUGGACAUAGAAGGCACUGGAGUAUAUCUUUUACAACCUGAAAAGGUCAGAAAACUGGCAUCUGCUGGAGGUGCCAUAAAGUCUUGGGAAGGGGCGAUGCAGUGGAGCAUGUUUUAAAGCAGUAAUUGAAGAAAAAUAAAACCCUAUGGAGUUUGAACCCUGCUGAGUUCACAGUGUUCAAUAAACUGCUGACAAAUGUGAAGUGCUUAGCAAACAGUCAGUGCUUCACAAAUGGAAGGUAUCAUUACUCCUAGUCACCUGAAGAAAAUAAAUAUUCAGAAAAUGUCCACAUGUUUUAAUAUCAAAGAGCAAGUAAGAUGCUCAAUUUGGAUUUUUGCUUUAGGAGAAAGCAUAAUGUUGUGUUCAUUAUGUCCUCAUGUUUCUGUUUUUGUCAUGAAGGGCUUCUCAGAAUGUUUUCUGGGCUGUUUCACCACAUUCCUUUUGCUAUUUUAGGCAUUUACCAUUUUUGUCAUUUCAUAGACACCCCACCCACCCCCCUACCCCACCCCCCGCCCUCAGGGAAUGAGAAAAUCAUAAAGGUGCUCUAUCCCCAAGCUCCAACUUAGAUGAAGAUAAAAUCCUAUUUAAUUAUUGGAAAAAUACUUCAAGUUCUUAAAAACAAAGUAUCUUGUGUAGGUGUGCAAUAAAGCAGUUUCUGCAGAUUCAGUACACAGAGAGGAGACUGAGAGUCCUGACGUAGUGAAGCAGAAGGACAAGGACACUGGGGUUGGCCCAGAAGACGCUAAUGACUUCCAGCAAUGUGACACUUAUGUGUGUGCUAUUCAACCCCAUUUAGCGUCCAUUUCUUCAACUAUCCAAUGGGGGGUUUAUCAAGGACCACACAAAUGAUUUAAAUGAGCUGAUUCUGUAAAGCAUGUAGCCCAGUGCUAGGCACAAUUUGAUGCUCAAGAGAAAACUGUUUUCCCCUUUCCAAGGUUGCAGGGUAAGUAGAAAUAGUGGGUGGUUCAGUGGAAAGAGAGCUACUGGGAAGGGAGUAUCUGAAAAAAUUUACUGAAUAUUCACUUGCCAAUUAAGCCAACUAGAGCUGGUGACAGUUUAAAUGGCACUAUUAAGAAGAGUCACAGAAAAUCAUGAUGACACCAUUGGAGCAGAGUGAGGUACUGGUAUUUUUAUAUUUAUUUUAUAAUGUAUUAAUAUCCUGAUAU